ACCCUUCGGGGUGAUGGGGACUCACAGGAGACUGCCGGGGUCAACUCGGAGGAAGGUGGGGACGACGUCAAGUCAUCAUGCCCCUUAUGUCUUGGGCUGCACACGUGCUACAAUGGCCGGUACAAUGAGCUGCGAUGCCGCGAGGCGGAGCGAAUCUCAAAAAGCCGGUCUCAGUUCGGAUUGGGGUCUGCAACUCGACCCCAUGAAGUCGGAGUUGCUAGUAAUCGCAGAUCAGCAUUGCUGCGGUGAAUACGUUCCCGGGCCUUGUACACACCGCCCGUCACGUCACGAAAGUCGGUAACACCCGAAGCCGGUGGCCCAACCCCUUGUGGGAGGGAGCUGUCGAAGGUGGGACUGGCGAUUGGGACGAAGUCGUAACAAGGUAGCCGUACCGGAAGGUGCGGCUGGAUCACCUCCUUUCUA
This 423-nucleotide ribosomal RNA is filed under the name Streptomyces sp. SID4937. RNAcentral's name for it is "bacterial SSU rRNA". It matches the Rfam family "Bacterial small subunit ribosomal RNA", at positions 1116 to 1533 of the family's 1533-position model. Lineage: Bacteria; Bacillati; Actinomycetota; Actinomycetes; Kitasatosporales; Streptomycetaceae. The record is from RNAcentral.